Molecule: ribosomal RNA, 468 nt
Filed under: uncultured bacterium
Lineage: Bacteria
Description: partial 16S ribosomal RNA
Rfam family: Bacterial small subunit ribosomal RNA
Source: RNAcentral
GACGAACGCUGGCGGCGUGCUUAACACAUGCAAGUCGAACGGAAAGGCCCGGCUUUGUUGGGGUGCUCGAGUGGCGAACGGGUGAGUAAUACGUGGGAAACCUGCCCUUAAUUUGGGAAUAACUUCAGGAAACCGGGGUAAUAACCGAUAGGAACUCCCGCUUGCAGGGGGGGGGUUGAAAAGUUCGGGCGGUGGGGGUUGGACCCGGGGCUUAUCAGCUUGUGGGGGGGGGAGUGGUUUACAAGGGCUUUGCCGGGUAGCCGACCUGAGGGGGUACCCGGCCACCUUGGGACUGAGGUACGGAGCAGACUCCUACGGGAGGCAGCAGUGGGGAAUAUUGCCCAAUGGGCGGAAGCCUGAUGCAGCAACGCCGCGUGCGGAAUGACGGCCUUCGGGUUAUAAACCGCUUUCGCCUGUGACGAAGCGUGGGUGACGGUAAUGGGUAAAGAAGCACCGGCUAACUACGUG